GUUUGAUGUGUAGUCCUGUGAUUGAUGUUCAUUUCCUACUCAGUUCAAAGUAACACCGCUCGUUGUAACAGCAGACAGGACGCACACAGAGUGAGGAAAAGCCUUUAACACAGAGGAUUUGUGUUCCACGGUGGUGCCAAUAACAACGGGAUCGCUACUGUAGUCGUGUUAGUGGUUUUAUUUACGUACAAAUAAUGUAUCUUUGCAAAAAAACAACAAACUGAAUCCUCCUCAGUUCCCAGAUAAGGUAGAAGAUAUAAAGGUUUUAUCAGUUGAAACGUCUCUAAAGGAUCAACCUUAUAUUUAUAUUCUGCUCUGUCACUUCCUCACUUGGCUUUAAACCCCUAUGUCAUGUUGUUAUAAAUCACAACAUAGAAUCUAUAGACAGUUGGCAGGGUGAUAAAGAUACUGGGCUGCUGAGGACAUCAGAUGCACCAGACACUGGACAUACAUUACAUUACUCUAGACUACUGGUCUGUCAGUUCAGACACAACAGAACUCUAGCAGGGAUAGAAUGGAGACUAAAAGCUGCUUCGUUUUGUUUAUAGGAGAAACCAGGUGAUCUGGGACUUAACAAGUUGAUAGAGCUGAAGAUUCUGUGUUGCGGUUUUCUUUAACCCUUUAAAUCAAUUUCUCUUCAAAUGAAUAUAUCAGCUUUGAUUUUCAUGUUUGUAAAAUACCAUUAUUGUAAAAUACCAAGUACCAUAGUGUGUGUGAUCUGAUGAACUGACCUUUCCCAUUCAAACAAACUGCUGACCCUUGACCCCUUCCUUCCUUCCUCUUUUAUUUUUAUAACUGUGAGAGGUGACAUCAUCCAAACUCAUCCUGUACUAGACACAACACAGGCCAGGUGUGAAAACAGACAAACAAGAGUUCGCCUGUAGCUAACGAUGACGCCUCACCUGGAACACUGGAGGCUGGUGGGCGGAGAUAUCGGAGGACGGGCUCAUUGUUAACGGCUGGAAUGGACUGAAAGGAGCGGUAUCAAAACACGCGACAACUUUCGUAUCCAUUCCAUUCCAGCUGUUAUGAUGAGCCUGUCCCUAACUACAUCUCCACCCACCAGCCUCCGCUGACCUGUAACCAAGGUAACCAACAUGUCAAUCUAUAGAAGACAAGUCAUCGGUGUGAGAUAAAGCUACAAAACAAUAAACCAAUGAGAAUAACAUUACUAGCUAACUAAAGAGACAUAACUAUAACAGUGAUUAAUAGCAGUCACUUCUGAGUGGUCAGUUUGGCUUGAUGGAUCCAUAUAGUGCCAUGUUGUGAAUACAUUUAUAAUAACAUUUUAAAUGGAGUAAAUUGAAAACCUGUAUUCAAAAACCCUGUUCCAAAUUAUUACAGAUGAGAGUUGUGUUAAAUCUUAAGGGAAUAUUUGUUAUCAAAUGGAUUGUACCUGUCAGAGAAAGAAGGAACUAGCAAAGAUAACUCUGUCCUAUAUUACAUGUCUAUUUUUCAUAUAACAUAAUAAAUACAACUUGGAAUUAUCAGCAGCUUACUCCUGGUGACGAUUCUGUUUUCUGAUCAACUGUCU
This 1534-nucleotide long non-coding RNA is filed under the name Salmo salar (Atlantic salmon). Its description in RNAcentral is "lncRNA (ENSSSAG00000104274.1)". Lineage: Eukaryota; Metazoa; Chordata; Actinopteri; Salmoniformes; Salmonidae. The record is from RNAcentral.